Molecule: long non-coding RNA, 248 nt
Organism: Helianthus annuus (common sunflower)
Lineage: Eukaryota; Viridiplantae; Streptophyta; Magnoliopsida; Asterales; Asteraceae
Exons: 3
Source: RefSeq, a predicted model, not a curated record
CUUUAUUAUGAAAGAUUGAUGCCUCUUUGAAGCAAUCAUAUGCCUUUUAUGCUGCAUUUGAUGGAAUUCCAGGGCUACAGGCAUCUGGAGCAUAUAUAUUUUCCAUCCAAAUGGUAAAUAUUCUAUUGGCUCUCAGAAGCAGAUUCGUGACGAUAGAGUUGAGUGGGAUCUUGAAGUGAAUCAACUUAUUGCAUGAAACUGUUAUCCUUUUGUAGUGGAAAUAAUGGCUAUUAUUACAAAUUUCCUCA